RNAcentral lists this transfer RNA (88 nucleotides) under Myxococcales bacterium. Its description in RNAcentral is "tRNA-Leu". It matches the Rfam family "tRNA". From Rfam's summary of the family: Transfer RNA (tRNA) molecules are approximately 80 nucleotides in length. Their secondary structure includes four short double-helical elements and three loops (D, anti-codon, and T loops). Further hydrogen bonds mediate the characteristic L-shaped molecular structure. tRNAs have two regions of fundamental functional importance: the anti-codon, which is responsible for specific mRNA codon recognition, and the 3' end, to which the tRNAs corresponding amino acid is attached (by aminoacyl-tRNA synthetases). tRNAs cope with the degeneracy of the genetic code in two manners: having more than one tRNA (with a specific anti-codon) for a particular amino acid; and 'wobble' base-pairing, i.e. permitting non-standard base-pairing at the 3rd anti-codon position. The record is from RNAcentral. Lineage: Bacteria; Pseudomonadati; Myxococcota; Myxococcia; Myxococcales.
GCCGAAGUGGCGGAAUUGGCAGACGCGGCGGACUCAAAAUCCGUUGUCCUCAAAAGACGUGUCGGUUCGACCCCGACCUUCGGCACCG